RNAcentral lists this ribosomal RNA (672 nucleotides) under Limnomysis benedeni. RNAcentral's name for it is "eukaryotic LSU rRNA". It matches the Rfam family "Eukaryotic large subunit ribosomal RNA", at positions 660 to 1298 of the family's 3401-position model. Lineage: Eukaryota; Metazoa; Arthropoda; Malacostraca; Mysida; Mysidae. The record is from RNAcentral.
CACGGACCAAGGAGUCUAUCAUGUGCACGAGUCAUUGGGUCUACUAAACCCAUUGGCGAAGUGAAAGCGAAAGUGCUUCUUUAAAAGUACUGAGGGCUGAUCCUAGUCCUCGUGACUGGGCGCAAGCUCGGGACUUGCCAUCCCCAUUGUGGGAGGUUAGUACCAGGAGUGCACCUGGUAGGACCCGAAAGAUGGUGAACUAUGCCCGGCCAGGACGAAGCCAGAGGAAACUCUGGUGGAGGUCCGUAGCGAUUCUGACGUGCAAAUCGAUCGUCGGAGCUGGGUAUAGGGGCGAAAGACUAAUCGAACUAUCUAGUAGCUGGUUCCCUCCGAAGUUUCCCUUAGGAUAGCUGGUGCUCGAAUGACAGAGUUUCAUUCGGUAAAGCGAAUGAUUAGAGGUCUUGGGGACGAAACGUCCUCAACCUAUUCUCAAACUUUAAAUGGGUGAGAAGUCGGGCUUGCUUGAAUAGUGAAGCUCCGACAGUAAAUCUGAGUGCCUAGUGGGCCAUUUUUGGUAAGCAGAACUGGCGCUGUGGGAUGAACCAAACGUCGAGUUAAGGGGCCUAAAAGAACGCUCAUCUGAACCCAUGAAAGGUGUUGGUUGCUAUAGACAGCAGGACGGUGGCCAUGGAAGUCGGAAUCCGCUAAGGAGUGUGUAACAACUCACCUGCC